UUAGCUCGCAAAUCGAUAACCACAAUCAAGUAUAGAAGAAUUAGUAACAAAAAAAAUAAAUGUAACACACAGCAGGAAAGUAUAAGAUAUUGCACUAAAUUGUACAGGAAAAUGCUAUGACAAACAAUAGAAUAAAUUGGCUUGAUAAUAUUACAUAGAUAUAAUCACGGUUCAAGAAAAAGCAGAAGCGUGCAAAACGGACGAAGCUUCGAAGAGGAAUGCUGCACCACGCUACAAGAUUGCACACCAACCACACAGCGACGAAUCUGAUUGGUCGAAAUGAGAGGACGCCAACAUGGCGCGACCAAUCACAGCUGUUGGUAGAAGUUUCGAAUUGCUUCGAAACUUUAAUACUAAUUGUAAGGGAAAAGUUCGUUAAAAACUAUCGACGCCAUAUUGAACUAAAGUCAAGAUUACUUUUCUCAGCUUAAAACAUCAAAAUAUAUGACAAAAAGUAGAAAAAACAUAAGCUAUUAACGAGAUUUAAGAAAUUGUCGAUAUAAAAGCAGAAUAACUGUAAUGCUAAUCGUAAUGGAAACGUUCAUACAAUAAAUAUCAGCGAAAAAA
This is a non-coding RNA of Osmia lignaria (orchard mason bee), 567 nucleotides long. The record is from RefSeq and is a predicted model, not a curated record. NCBI's taxonomy places the organism in Eukaryota, Metazoa, Arthropoda, Insecta, Hymenoptera, Megachilidae.